CCUACGGAGAGCUGCAGUGGGGAAUAUUGGACAAUGGGCGAAAGCCUGAUCCAGCCAUGCCGCGUGUGUGAAGAAGGCCUUCGGGUUGUAAAGCACUUUCAGUGGGGAAGAAAGCCUUGGGGCUAAUACCCUCGAGGAAGGACAUCACCCACAGAAGAAGCACCGGCUAACUCCGUGCCAGCAGCCGCGGUAAUACGGAGGGUGCGAGCGUUAAUCGGAAUUACUGGGCGUAAAGCGCGCGUAGGCGGUCUGAUAAGCCGGUUGUGAAAGCCCCGGGCUCAACCUGGGAACGGCAUCCGGAACCGUCAGGCUAGAGUGCAGGAGAGGAAGGUAGAAUUCCCGGUGUAGCGGUGAAAUGCGUAGAGAUCGGGAGGAAUACCAGUGGCGAAGGCGGCCUUCUGGACUGACACUGACGCUGAGGUGCGAAAGCGUGGGUAGCAAACAGGAUUAGAUACCCGGGUAGUC
This 465-nucleotide ribosomal RNA is filed under the name Vreelandella stevensii. RNAcentral's name for it is "partial 16S ribosomal RNA". It matches the Rfam family "Bacterial small subunit ribosomal RNA", at positions 338 to 795 of the family's 1533-position model. The record is from RNAcentral. Lineage: Bacteria; Pseudomonadati; Pseudomonadota; Gammaproteobacteria; Oceanospirillales; Halomonadaceae.